AAACGACUCUCGGCAACGGAUAUCUCGGCUCUCGCAUCGAUGAAGAACGUAGCGAAAUGCGAUACUUGGUGUGAAUUGCAGAAUCCCGUGAAUCAUCGAGUYUUUGAACGCAARUGCGCCCGAAGCCUUYUGGCCGAGGGCACGUYUGCCUGGGUGUCACGC
This 162-nucleotide ribosomal RNA is filed under the name Viola caspia x Viola reichenbachiana. Its description in RNAcentral is "5.8S ribosomal RNA". It matches the Rfam family "5.8S ribosomal RNA". Rfam says of the family: 5.8S ribosomal RNA (5.8S rRNA) is a component of the large subunit of the eukaryotic ribosome. It is transcribed by RNA polymerase I as part of the 45S precursor that also contains 18S and 28S rRNA. Lineage: Eukaryota; Viridiplantae; Streptophyta; Magnoliopsida; Malpighiales; Violaceae. The record is from RNAcentral.